Long non-coding RNA from Pseudoliparis swirei, 607 nucleotides. RefSeq lists it as uncharacterized. The record is from RefSeq and is a predicted model, not a curated record. NCBI's taxonomy places the organism in Eukaryota, Metazoa, Chordata, Actinopteri, Perciformes, Liparidae. The transcript has 5 exons.
GGAUUAAACACCACCAGCAAGAGAAUAUGCACCGACGAAGACGCCUAAAUCCAAAGGCUGAUGCCAACUUUUACAUUGAUACUGGAGGGGACAAAGUGGGACUUGACAUCAAAUACAUCAAUGCCUUCAAAGGUCGUGGCAUCUUCACCUCUGCUCUAUUUGAAGGGGGAGAAUUUCUGUUGGAAUAUAGAGGUGAACUAAUAAGCCAGCAAGAAUGUGAACGGAGACAGAGACUUCAUCACGACUGCCUGAAGGUGUUCAUGUUCGAGUUCCUUUUUAAUGGAAAACUAUGGUGUUUUGAUGCAGCAAAAGAGGAUGGGUCGCUUGGAAGACUUGUGAACGAUAAUAAUGUCAACCCCAAUGCCAAGAUGAAGUACCUAAACAUACAAGGGAAGCCCCAUCUGUGUUUGUUUGCAACACGAGACAUCAGUCAAGGAGAGGAGGUCACCUAUAAUUAUGGUGACUCGGAUUGACCGUGGAGAUGCAAGAAAUCUAAAGGAAAGUCUUCGGACGGGGAGCACGGUGAGGGUCCAUCUACAUCCGAGCCUUCUAAGUACUCAAAAGGUUUCAACAAGUAAGAGGCAAGAAAAGAGAUCUCCAGGUGCAU